This 540-nucleotide ribosomal RNA is filed under the name Triticum aestivum (bread wheat). RNAcentral describes it as "partial small subunit ribosomal RNA". Lineage: Eukaryota; Viridiplantae; Streptophyta; Magnoliopsida; Poales; Poaceae. The record is from RNAcentral.
AUGAAGUUUGAAACUGUCAUGGGGGAGCAAGGCUACAAGAAGUGUAGCUCAGACCAUUGUGUGUUUAUUCAGAGGUUCUCAGGUGAUGAUUUCAUCAUAUUAUUGCUCUAUGUUGAUGAUAUCCUGAUAGUUGGCAAGAAUGUCUCUAGGAUUGCUAAGUUGAAGAAGGAGUUGAGCAAAUGUUUUGCCAUGAAAGACUUAGGUCCAUCAAAGAACAUUCUCGGAAUGAGAGUUGAGCGAGACAGAAAUUGCAACAAGUUGUACUUGUCUCAAGAGAAGUAUAUUGAGAAGGUACUUCAGAAAUUCAGGAUGGAAAAUGAUAAAGUUGUGAGUUGUGCACUAGCAGCCCAUUUCAAGUUGAGCAGAAAGCAAUGUCCUACCACUGAUGAGCAGAAAAAGGAAAUGCAUCAUGUUCCUUAUGCUUCAGCGGUUGGGAGUUUGAUGUAUGCUAUGGUGUGUACAAGGCCUGACAUUGCUCAUGCGGUUAGUACUGUGAGCAGAUUUAUGUCCAAUCCAGGAAGACCUCAUUGGAAGCCGUGA